This 245-nucleotide ribosomal RNA is filed under the name uncultured bacterium. Its description in RNAcentral is "partial 16S ribosomal RNA". It matches the Rfam family "Bacterial small subunit ribosomal RNA", at positions 63 to 334 of the family's 1533-position model. The record is from RNAcentral.
CGAGCGCAGUCCUUCGGGACCGAGCGGCGGACGGGUUAGUAACGCGUGGGAACGUGCCCUUCUCUACGGAAUAGCCAUUGGAAACGAUGAGUAAUACCGUAUACGCCCUUUUGGGGAAAGAUUUAUCGGAGAAGGAUCGGCCCGCGUUAGAUUAGAUAGUUGGUGGGGUAAUGGCCUACCAAGUCUACGAUCUAUAGCUGGUUUUAGAGGAUGAUCAGCAACACUGGGACUGAGACACGGCCCAG